UCGGCGGCUUGGUGUUCGGGCAUCGGCGAUUUGGGCUCGCCGGGCUCGUGGCCGCGUUGGGAAUCGUGGCCGCCGGU
Molecule: transfer RNA, 77 nt
Filed under: Mycolicibacterium vulneris
Lineage: Bacteria; Bacillati; Actinomycetota; Actinomycetes; Mycobacteriales; Mycobacteriaceae
Description: tRNA-Pro
Source: RNAcentral